AUGAGUAACAUCAAUUGUGCGAUCAUGUCCUGGAAUGUCCGGGGGCUGAACUCAGCGGCAAGGCGGGAAACAGUUAGAGAGGUAGGAGCGGCACAGCGACUCUCCAUCCUCUGCCUCCAGGAAACAAAAAUAGAAACAUGGUCUCAAACCAUGGUUAGGGACAUUGGCGGUAGCUACUUCAAAGAUUGCAUAGUACUACCGGCGAUUGGCUCCAGGGGCGGAGUUGCAAUCUUCUGGAACCGUGAUCUUGUGUACGUCUGCUACCAGGCAGUUGGUCAAUUCUCCAUCACAGCCACUGUCACUCUAUUAGCUCGGCAACUAGUUUCGUCCUCACAUCAGUAUACGGCCCCUCCGACGGCACCAACAGAGACGCCUUCUUCGCUGAAUUAG
Molecule: ribosomal RNA, 390 nt
Filed under: Triticum aestivum (bread wheat)
Lineage: Eukaryota; Viridiplantae; Streptophyta; Magnoliopsida; Poales; Poaceae
Description: partial small subunit ribosomal RNA
Source: RNAcentral